UACGGAGGGUGCGAGCGUUGUCCGGAAUCACUGGGCGUAAAGGGCGCGUAGGCGGCGCGGAUAGUCGGCGGUGAAAGCCCGGAGCUCAACUCCGGGUCGGCCGUCGAUACUUCCGGGCUUGAGCACUGUAGAGGCAGAUGGAAUUCCGGGUGUAGCGGUGGAAUGCGUAGAGAUCCGGAAGAACACCGGUGGCGAAGGCGGUCUGCUGGGCGAGUUGCUGACGCUGAUGCG
This 231-nucleotide ribosomal RNA is filed under the name uncultured bacterium. RNAcentral describes it as "partial 16S ribosomal RNA". It matches the Rfam family "Bacterial small subunit ribosomal RNA", at positions 524 to 753 of the family's 1533-position model. The record is from RNAcentral.